CUACGUGCCAGCAGCCGCGGUAAUACGGGGGGUGCGAGCGUUAAUCGGAAUAACUGGGCGUAAAGGGCACGCAGGCGGUGACUUAAGUGAGAUGUGAAAGCCCCGAGCUUAACUUGGGAAUUGCAUUUCAUACUGGGUCGCUAGAGUACUUUAGGGAGGGGUAGAAUUCCACGUGUAGCGGUGAAAUGCGUAGAGAUGUGGAGGAAUACCGAAGGCGAAGGCAGCCCCUUGGGAAUGUACUGACGCUCAUGUGCGAAAGCGUGGGGAGCAAACAGGAUUAGAUACCCUGGUAGUCCACGCUGUAAACGAUGUCGAUUUGGGGGUUGAGCUUUGAGCUUGGCGCCCGUAGCUAACGUGAUAAAUCGACCGCCUGGGGAGUACGGCCGCAAGGUUAAAACUCAAAUGAAUUGACGGGGGCCCGCACAAGCGGUGGAGCAUGUGGUUUAAUUCGAUGCAACGCGAAGAACCUUACCUACUCUUGACAUCCAGA
RNAcentral lists this ribosomal RNA (490 nucleotides) under uncultured bacterium. RNAcentral describes it as "bacterial SSU rRNA". It matches the Rfam family "Bacterial small subunit ribosomal RNA", at positions 501 to 992 of the family's 1533-position model. The record is from RNAcentral.